RNAcentral lists this unclassified non-coding RNA (353 nucleotides) under Hevea brasiliensis (rubber tree). The record is from RNAcentral. Lineage: Eukaryota; Viridiplantae; Streptophyta; Magnoliopsida; Malpighiales; Euphorbiaceae.
CUCACAUAAAAAGAUUCCGUUCAACAAUAAAAUAAAAUAUUAAUAUAAACAACAACAGUCACAAAUCAUAUAGAAUCCCAUAAACAACUCCCCCAAACAUGAACAAAAUUAAGAUCUUAACUGCGGCAGCGGGUGAUGGCGGAGCAGCCACGGGUGUAGGGGUUGGCGCGGGCGCCGGGGCGGCAGUUGUAGUAGGAGAGGAUCAACAAUGGCGUCCUUCCUCCAAUCCUGCCUCAUCCUUCUCCUUGUCGCCGCCGUCGCCGCCUCCCUCACCCCCGCCGCCGCCUCUGAUGGCGGCGCCGCCAGCCAGCUCGGUUGGAUGCCUGGCAGCAGCGGAGGUUGCCGUGGCACCA